RNAcentral lists this ribosomal RNA (482 nucleotides) under Penicillium sp. FL-2010n. RNAcentral describes it as "eukaryotic LSU rRNA". The stretch from base 105 to 258 matches the Rfam family "5.8S ribosomal RNA". The record is from RNAcentral. Lineage: Eukaryota; Fungi; Ascomycota; Eurotiomycetes; Eurotiales; Aspergillaceae.
UCACGGCCGCCGGGGGGCAUCCGCUCCCGGGCCCGCGCCCGCCGAAGACACCAAUGAACUCUGUCUGAAGAUUGCAGUCUGAGCAGAUUAGCUAAAUCAGUUAAAACUUUCAACAACGGAUCUCUUGGUUCCGGCAUCGAUGAAGAACGCAGCGAAAUGCGAUACGUAAUGUGAAUUGCAGAAUUCAGUGAAUCAUCGAGUCUUUGAACGCACAUUGCGCCCCCUGGUAUUCCGGGGGGCAUGCCUGUCCGAGCGUCAUUGCUGCCCUCAAGCACGGCUUGUGUGUUGGGCUCCGCCCCCCGGCUCCCGGGGGGCGGGCCCGAAAGGCAGCGGCGGCACCGCGUCCGGUCCUCGAGCGUAUGGGGCUUCGUCACCCGCUCUGUAGGCCCGGCCGGCGCCCGCCGGCGACCCCAAUCAAUCUAUCCAGGUUGACCUCGGAUCAGGUAGGGAUACCCGCUGAACUUAAGCAUAUCAAUAAGCGG